Molecule: ribosomal RNA, 479 nt
Filed under: uncultured bacterium
Lineage: Bacteria
Description: partial 16S ribosomal RNA
Rfam family: Bacterial small subunit ribosomal RNA
Source: RNAcentral
GACGAACGCUGGCGGCGUGCUUAACACAUGCAAGUCGAGCGGAAAGGCCACUUCGGUGGUACUCGAGCGGCGAACGGGUGAGUAACACGUGAGUAAUCUGCCCCUGGCUUUGGGAUAACCACCGGAAACGGUGAUUAAUACCGGAUACGAGUUCUGCAGGCAUCUGCGGAAUUGGAAAGUUUUUCGGUCUGGGAUGGGCCCGCGGCCUAUCAGCUUGUUGGUGAGGUAACGGCUCACCAAGGCGACGACGGGUAGCCGGCCUGAGAGGGCGACCGGCCACACUGGGACUGAGACACGGCCCAGACUCCUACGGGAGGCAGCAGUGGGGAAUAUUGCGCAAUGGGCGAAAGCCUGACGCAGCAACGCCGCGUGCGGGAUGAAGGCCUUCGGGUUGUAAACCGCUUUCAGCAGGGAAGAAGCGAAAGUGACGGUACCUGCAGAAGAAGCACCGGCUAACUACGUGCCAGCCGCCGCCGUAA